Transfer RNA from Phycisphaerae bacterium, 73 nucleotides. It matches the Rfam family "tRNA". From Rfam's summary of the family: Transfer RNA (tRNA) molecules are approximately 80 nucleotides in length. Lineage: Bacteria; Pseudomonadati; Planctomycetota; Phycisphaerae. The record is from Rfam.
GCUGCUGUAGCUCAGUCGGUAGAGCGCGUCCUUGGUAAGGACGAGGUCCGGGGUUCAAAUCCCCGCAGCAGCU